GGAGUAUCGACCCUCUCUGUGCCGAAGCUAACGCUUUAAGUACCCCGCCUGGGGAGUACGGUCGCAAGACUAAAACUCAAAGGAAUUGACGGGGGCCCGCACAAGCAGCGGAGCGUGUGGUUUAAUUCGAUGCAAAACGAAGAACCUUACCAAGGUUUGACAUGACAGAAGUAGUGAACCGAAAGGGAAACG
RNAcentral lists this ribosomal RNA (192 nucleotides) under uncultured bacterium. Its description in RNAcentral is "partial 16S rRNA". It matches the Rfam family "Bacterial small subunit ribosomal RNA", at positions 826 to 1014 of the family's 1533-position model. The record is from RNAcentral.